This 73-nucleotide transfer RNA is filed under the name Ovis aries (sheep). It matches the Rfam family "tRNA". From Rfam's summary of the family: Transfer RNA (tRNA) molecules are approximately 80 nucleotides in length. Their secondary structure includes four short double-helical elements and three loops (D, anti-codon, and T loops). The record is from Rfam by way of RNAcentral. Lineage: Eukaryota; Metazoa; Chordata; Mammalia; Artiodactyla; Bovidae.
UCCCUGGUGGUCCAGUGGUUUAGACUCUGUACUUCUCAUGCAGGGGCUGAGGGUUCGAUUCCUAUUUGGGGAA